GUUGAAACAUCAUACAUGGACACAUAAUUGGAAAUGACUUGAAUGUCUAUCACCUCUAACAAUACACAACUUAUGUCACCCUGAAUAAAUACUUCUUUACAGUGCUUUUAACAUGUUCACAUCAUCUGAAAAUCAUUUCUUUCAAGUAAAUAUUGUGAUCACUUCACAAGAGUCUUGAUUUGCACUGUUUAUCUUAAUGCCCUUCAUCCAUGGGAUCACUUCUGUUGCACGUUUGAGAUCUUAAAUCCUUCUCAUCUUGCCUUGAUUCAUUGGAACCUGAUCCCUUGGAAACAGAAUCUUCUAGGGCCUCCAGAAAAGAUGGAACCGUCAACUUAUAUUGGCUUGGAUCAAUUCCAAACUGAGUCAGAUCUAUUUGUCCAGUUCGAAGAACAUAAGUAAAUGAAUCUAACUGCUGACGGAACGGAGGACUCUGUAGCAAUUCCAUUAAUUCAUAUGGUGUCCAAUGACCCUCUGGCAAGUGUGAAGCUAGUUGUUCUUCUAGUGGUAUUUCCUCGAUCAGUGGUAAUAUGAGCUCAGGCCUCAAAAUAUCUCCCAAUCCCAAUCCUGCAUCAGGAUCUACAGCUUCAUCUGAGGACCCUAUAUUACUCAAUAUUCUUUGAAGAUCAGACAACUUUACUGGGCCUGAAGAUGUCACAUCGCUACUUGCUUCAGUAUUCAUGCUUGCGCUAACCAAAUUCCCCGCCCUCGAUGAAAUAUCUUCUUCUACCAUAUCUUCAGAAUUUGGUAAAGGAGCUGAAGCUUCAGGCUCAUCUUCGCCAGGAAACUCUAGUGGUUGAUUCAAGUAGAAGUUGACUGAGCUACAUAACUGUGCAUCAUUGUCAGCUGCUGGCUCCUGCAUCCAAAAGAAAAGCCUUCUAUCGUCGGUACAGAACUUCAAAAUGUAAACCCUUCCAGAUGAUUGAUUGACCUUCUCAAAGACUGCCUCCUCUGGGAAAACAAUCUGAUCAUCUUCAACAAUGUUGAGAUUACGGUCAAGCCACUGAAAAUGGAGUAGUCCCUCUUCACCCCUGCCUAUACGAACAAGUCCUUUCCGUGAAUCAGGGAUAACCUUUUUGCCCUCCAUGAGCAUUUUACCAGCACGAAAUUCCAUCAAAGUUUCCUGAAUUUGGGGAAAAGCGUCCGUUGACGAAGAACCCAUUGAUUCUCCAAUGUAUAAACAAAGAACUGAAAACGAAACACUCUAUCACUGUGCUCAGAUGAGAGAGAAGAUUCGUACAGUUUUG
Molecule: unclassified non-coding RNA, 1244 nt
Filed under: Hevea brasiliensis (rubber tree)
Lineage: Eukaryota; Viridiplantae; Streptophyta; Magnoliopsida; Malpighiales; Euphorbiaceae
Source: RNAcentral